This 677-nucleotide ribosomal RNA is filed under the name uncultured bacterium. Its description in RNAcentral is "bacterial SSU rRNA". It matches the Rfam family "Bacterial small subunit ribosomal RNA", at positions 127 to 823 of the family's 1533-position model. The record is from RNAcentral.
UGGCCCAUACAGGGGGAUAACACUUAGAAAUAGGUGCUAAUACCGCAUAACAACAGAAAGCGCAUGCUUUUUGUUUGAAAACCAAGGUGGUAUGGGAUGGACCCGCGUCUGAUUAGCUGGUUGGCGGGGUAAAGGCCCACCAAGGCGACGAUCAGUAGCCGGCCUGAGAGGGUGGACGGCCACAUUGGGACUGAGACACGGCCCAAACUCCUACGGGAGGCAGCAGUGGGGAAUAUUGCGCAAUGGGGGAAACCCUGAUGCAGCGACGCCGCGUGAGUGAAGAAGUAAUUCGUUAUGUAAAGCUCUAUCAGCAGGGAAGAAAAUGACGGUACCUGAGUAAGAAGCCCCGGCUAACUACGUGCCAGCAGCCGCGGUAAUACGUAGGGGGCAAGCGUUAUCCGGAUUUACUGGGUGUAAAGGGAGCGUAGACGGCAGUGCAAGUCUGGAGUGAAAGGCGGGGGCUCAACCCCCGGACUGCUCUGGAAACUGUACGGCUGGAGUGCAGGAGAGGUAAGUGGAAUUCCUAGUGUAGCGGUGAAAUGCGUAGAUAUUAGGAGGAACACCAGUGGCGAAGGCGGCUUACUGGACUGUAACUGACGUUGAGGCUCGAAAGCGUGGGGAGCAAACAGGAUUAGAUACCCUGGUAGUCCACGCCGUAAACGAUGAUCACUAGGUGU